CGCGCGCCUGGCGCUGGCUGCUCCCACUCUGCGCUGGGCUAAAUUUUUAGCGCACCCGCGCAGGAGAGCAGCGGAGGACACAGAAGCCGGGCUGGGGGCACCUGCCGCGACCUCCCCAUUCUGGCCGGGCACUCAGUGCUCGGCCAGCACCUGCGGCCUGGGUGCUGUUUCUCCACGGUGAUCAGUUGCUGGUCGCCGCCGAAUUUGAUUGCCCGCUCUCCGGGACCCACGCGUGUGGGAGACCAGCGUGGGAUACUGUCCAGGGCCGGCCGGGAACAGCGCGCCCAGGCUGAGGGAGUGUCCUGGCUGAAGCUCGGAACCUCGCGAUAGGUGCAGGCGAGCCCGCAGUCAGGAGAGGGCCUGGGGCUCCACACCACAUCGGUUUGUCACUGCAGUGCCCUGCCCCAUCAAGGUGUCAUGGAGAGGAGCUCGCCUUCCCUCGGAAAGCAAGGCUCUGGUUAGACUUGCAUCUUGCGGGACUGGCCCAAGUGUGCACUGUGGUGGGGUGAAGAACCCUUCCACUCUGUUUCAUUCCAGGAUCUAAGCUGACCAUGACCAUGAGCCACGCUGGAGGGUCCAGGUGAGCCAUUUGCUCCUUCCCACCCAAACACACUACACACACUCUCUUCAGAAAAUCCGCUGAGAUUUCUAUUCAAACCACUCAAAAAUGGCCCCAAAGGUCACCGGUGACAGGAAGGAACCGUGCUCUUAAAGGAAAGACUAGUUUAUUCUAAGCCAGGUGGCUCAUGGCUUGUUACCACAUUUUCUACACAUCCUGCUUCCUUGGUGGCUGGUUGGUGUCUCCCCUGACUCUAUCCUUCUUCCUUCCAUCAUUCUCUUAGUUUGGUUGCCCCACCUAUAAUUCCUGGCUGGCUACCAGCCAAUUAGCUUUUUAUUAAACCAAUCCCAGUGACAGACCUUCACACAAUGUAAAGGAAUAUUCCACAGCAAGCUGCUACAGAAGCAAGCAGUUUAACAGAAGCUAAGAUAAGAAGUUAGCUGGAGGGGGCUCUGCACAAACUGGCAGUUUAACAGAAGCUGGGAUAAGUUAGCUGGGACAUCCUGACCUCAGGUUCCAAUAAAGUUGAGUAAUGUUCCAUGGAAUUCUCUGUCAAGAAGAUCAAAUUCCUGAAAUGGCCUCAGCAAGAAUACAAGAUGGAGGAAACUUUGAACUGUCUUGCCCAGUCACACAGCCUCUCCUAACUGAACCAAGCUGCUGAUGUGACUCUCCACAGGUACGGAUCCUUUGUUCCUGCUGGCUUCUGCCACCCACCAUAUUCAACUCCGCACUUUAGUGUCCAUCUCUUCAGCUGCUCCUCCCCUUCACCUCUCUGGUCUAUUCAGGUGUUACCUUGGAGUUUUUGGCUCUCUGUCUCCUUGGGCUCCUGAAGCCUACUACUGCUACAAAAGUCAUGCCAGUGAGUCAUGUGUCAUCCUACUGGACACCCACCGGUAGUGGGAAGGGAAGCCUCUCCUUUGUAAUUUGGGACAUUUCACUCUGACAAGUCUCCUGGUCCACUUGGUUUGGGGACACCCUGUAUUGAAAUCCCCCCCCCCCAGCUGAGGACCGAACCCAGGGCCUUGUGCUUGCUAGGCAAGCGCUCUACCACUGAGCUAAAUCCCCAUCCCCUGAAUUGAAAUUCUUGCCACAGGACACUUACUCCUUUCUCUCCCUCCCCACCUACCACCCCCUUUCCUAAAGUCUCUCCCAUCUUCUCCUCCCUUUGCUCCUGGCUCCCUCCCCACCUGUCUCUCGGCUCUCAUGGAGCUUGCUCUGUCCCUCCUGCUUGCCUGCUGGAGCCUGAGCUCCAUAGGCUCUUAAUCUCUUUCCCUCCUUGGACUGCGAUUUUUUGAAAGCUUCACUGUCUUACUGCAGAUGGCUUGGCCUCAGUAAUAGGUUUUCUGUACCCCGAUAAUAGGUUUCUCCACUGAUGCAGUAAGCCAGAUCAAGCCGAAUUGAAAAAGUAUGACAACAGGUUUAUUUGAGCAAAGCAACUCCCGGGUGGGCUCUUCAGUCCCAGAGAUUGAGGCUGGAGAAGUCACGUGCCUGAACUAAAGCAGAGAGAUUAUGUAGCUCGUAGGCGCGGACUUGGGCCGCUGGCAACUUCCGGGGAGGAGCUCAGAACUGGGCUCUUUGGUGCCUUCCCUUCCUGUGUAAACACUGCAGCUCGGAUGGGAAGGUAUCCUGGCAGCUGGAAGCCAAGGAAUACCACAGAGUCACACAACAAACCUUACCCAAGAGACUUAUUGGGAGGGAAAAACCCAGGAGGGUGGCUGCCUCUGCUCAAGCAAGAAAUAGCAGCAAAUUGAACAGGAUAGAGAGCGUAUAGAGAGUUUCUUUGGUAAGAGGAUGGAACUUGCCAGGGUGGAGAUUGGUGGGAUUUUUUUUUUGUCCAGAGAUUGAGCUUUUUAUUCUGUAGGAUGGGGGCAGGGUCCAGCAGUUAGGGCAGUUAGAGUAUUCUGUGGGUGGAACCUGGCAGCUAGAGGUCCACUGGAGGGGUGGGGGGUGGGAGGGCCUGGCCAGCCACAUGACCCAAGGGGCUUAUACUCUGAGUGGGGUUUGGAGAGACAGGAACGGGCUUCUCAGACCAUGCAGGAGCUGCAAGAAGCAAGCUGGAGUUUCCAACCAAACACUCAGUACAGGUCAAUGGUCAAAGGUGGCACACUUGAUUUCCAAACUCUUUUUUUUUUUUUUUUGGUUUUUUCGAGACAGGGUUUCUCUGUGUAGCUUUGCGCCUUUCCUGGAACUCGCUUUGGAGACCAGGCUGGCCUCGAACUCACAAAGAUCCGCCUGCCUCUGCCUCCCGAGUGCUGGGAUUAAAGGCGUGCGCCACCACCGCCCGGCGAUUUCCAAACUCUUUUAACAACUUCUGCCACUGCACAAGCAAAUGAUCCCAACACAACAUCUCUUAUCUCUAAACUUUCUGUGAUCUCCACUCACAAAAUUUUCUUUCUCUUUCUCCCCCCCCCCCCACCUUUUUUUUUGAAGACAGGGUCUCUCUACAUAGUUCGGACUGUCCUGAAACUCACUAUGUAGAUCAGGCUGACCUCGAAUUCAUGGAGAUCCACCUGUAUCUGUCCCCCAGAGUGCUAGAAUUAAAGGCAUGUGCCACCAUGCCUAGCCAGAAAAUGUCUUAUCUUUAAGCCUUCUUUACUCUCUUUCAGACAUAUUCAAGGGAGCACCAUAAAGAAACUGACAACAUUGUGGGCAGUGGUGGUGCAGGUCUUUAAUCCCAGCACUCGGGAGGCAGAGGCAGGUGGAUCUCUGAGUUUGAGGCCAGCCUGGUCUACAGAGCGAGUUCCAGGACAGAAAGGGCUACACCGAGAAAACUGGUCUCAAAAAAACAAACUAAAAGGAAAUUGGGGACAUGACGCUUCAUGAUAUGGGUAAGGAUUUUUAUUGUAGAUAUAACAGGCAUCUGGAAGAGCCCAGAGCAGAGGGAGAAAGAAGUGGACCGAACAUGGCCAGCAGACUGGACAUGGCCAGGACCAGGGAAGUGAGAGAAUGGGAGAGGACAGUGGAGACAGUGGGACUGCAAGAGACAGGGAACAGGGAAGGUGGCAGCAGGGAGUGGAAGGAAUAGCUAGAGAGAGAGAAUAGUGGGGGGGGGGAACCCUGCCAUUAUAAAGAGAACAAACAGGCAUCUGGGAGGAGGGGACCCGGGGAGGUGAGAAGGGCUGGGAUGCUGUCCUGCACUUUGAAGUGUCUCACAGGCGCUUGUGAUGCUGAGGGAGCCUGGAGGCCCCCAGCGUGUGCUGUGAUAUGCAACCACAGGGAGGCAGUUGUCCUUCUUCCCAAGGUCAGGGGGAUGACUCCUUUUGGCAGAUGGGGACUGGUUUCACAAGUUCCUGAGGAAUCGAACCCCAGGAAUCCAAUAGUCCAGCUUGAGCUCAUUUCUAGAUAUAUGAACUACCUGUGAGACCUAACACCUGGUAGAUGCAGCAACCAGUCAAACUGCCUAAAGAAACAAAGAACAGCUGAGCCCCUGGAAAGGACACCCUCCAACCUGUUAAGAUGCCUGAUGGCUGUUCAAUGUAUAAGUGUUGCAGCUUGGGUGGGAAGUUAUCCUGGCAGUCGGGAGUCAAGGAGUGCCACAAAGUCACUGAACACUUAGCAGCUUACAGCCCUGCUCCAGGGAAAGGUUUCCCCAAUGUAAGUGCAGCAAUUCUGCUCAGACAGGGGAGAGCUUCCCCAGCAAAGUCGUUAUAGCUCUGCUGAGCUCUGCUCCAGAGAAGUGUUACAGCUCCGCUUAGAUCCUCCAGAGUGCAACAACUCCGCUCUGCUAGGGGAAAGUUUCCCCAGCGAAAAUGUUACAGUUUUGCUCCACUGUGCUCCAGCUCCAGGGAAAUUUGUUACAGCUGCCCCUGGAUCCCCCCCUUGGAUGUCACACCACACAACAAACCUCACUCAGGAGAUUUAAUGGGAAGGAAGAAGCCAGGAGGACAGUUGCCUCUAGGGUGAGAAGCAGCAGCAAACUGAACAAGGUCCAGAGCCUAUAUAGGGUUUCUUGGGGAUGAGCGGAGUGUUCCAAGGUUGCCUUGGGAUUGGUGGAUUUUUGUGGCCUGAUUCUGGGGCAAACUCAGAGACUGAUGGGAUUUUGAGGUCAGGGGCCUCAGGGAUUGGUGGGAUCCUGUGCUCAGGGAUUGGUGAGAUUCUGCAGCCUGACUUGGGGACAAACUCAGGGACUGGUGAGAUUUCCAGCCUUUGUCCUGUGGUCAAGUCAGGGUGUUUUUCCUUUGUCCAGGUCUUGGGUUUAGUUAGGGGCAGGGCAUUUUUUUUCCCUUGGCCCUUUUAACCUAGCCGGUGUGCUCCAGAUUUCUAACCUUUGUGAGCUCGCAUCCAUGCUGGAGUGGGCUUUGGUGAUGCAGGCAUCUUUGAAUCAUUUUUGUUCCUCUAAGUAACCCUUCACUGAUGUUCCUCUAAGUGAUGCCAAUAAAACUCUUUGGUUCACCAAAUUGCACUUUGGUGGUACCCAUACUUUGGUCUGUCAUUGGUUCUUUAUCUGGGGUGAGAAAAUUUGUAAUUUGUUCAUGUUACCCUGGGAAUAGUGUCACACAACACACCUGAUGUUGACCUCAGGCCUUCACAUUGACACAUACCCACACACAAAUAAUUCAAAAGAGAUUGACAUAGAAUAAGCUGCCCCUCAUAUUGACAUAUUAACUGCUGUUGUGGAAUAUUAUUUAAGGUGUGUUAUAUUUUUUUAUGCUAUGGAACAUUUGUUUGAUGAUUCAAAGAUGUAUUGCAUUCUUUUAUGUUGGAUUUGUUUAAGUCUGUGAAGCUGUGUUACUUUGCCUGUCUAAAACACCUGAUGGUCUAAUAAAGACCUGAAUGGUCAACAGCAAGGCAAGAGAAAAGAUAGGCGGGGCUGGCAGGCAGAGAGAAUAAAUAGGAGAAAUCUGGGAGGAGAGGAAGAAAGAGCAAGAGAACAUGGAGAGGACUUCAGGGGCCAGCCACCAGGCUACACAAUCAGCAAUGGAGUAAGAAAGAAAGAUAUACAGAAAUAGAAAAAGGUAAAAGCCCAUAGGCAAAAGGUAGAUGGGAUAAGUUAAAGUUAAGAAAAGCUGGCAAGAAACAAGCCAAGCUACAACCAGGUAGUUAUAAUUAAGAGUAAGCCCCCCUGUGUAGCUUAUUUGAGAGCUGGGUGAUGGGCCCCACAAGAGCCAAAAGAACAAAUCAGUCAACUACAACCCCCCCCACUCCAGACCUCAACUGUAGAUUAGUGUGCAUUCUGACUUUAAGGAAAACCUUACCAUGCUGCUUUUUCAUCCUGUGAAUUGGUAUAAGAACCUUCAUUUCUCUUCUACUGGGGCGAAGUGUUAGAAAUAGAUCUGGUGUGGUGGUUUGGAUAACAAUGGCUCCCAUAGGCUCAUAUAUUGGAAUGCUUGGUCAUUAGGGAGUGAUGCUACUUUAUAGGGAUUAGGAGGGGUGGCCUUAUUACAGUAGGUAUGGCUUUGUUGGAAGAAGUGUGUUACUGGGGGCGGGGGUGGGCGCUGGGGUUUCAAAUGCUCAAGCCAGACCCAGUCUCUCUCUUUUCCUGCUGCCUGUGGAUCUGAAUGUAGAACUCUCAGCUACCAUGUCUGCCUGCAUGCCACCAUGCUCUCCUCAAUGAGGAUAAUGGACUAAACCUCUGAAACUGUAAGCAAGCCCCAAUCAAAUGCCUUCCUUUAUUAAGAGUUGCCAUCAUCAUGGUAUCUCUUCAGAGCAAUAGAACACUAACUAAGACAUCUGGGAUCUCAAUAUCCAAAAAUCCUUCAGCAAAAUGUUUUACAACAGCCUAGGUCUGGAGAGAUGGCUCAGUGGUUAAGAGCACUGACUGCUCUUCCAGAGCACCUAGGUUCAAUUCCCAGCACCCACAUGGCAGCUAACAACAGUGCAUAGCCAUGCAUAACCAAGCAAGUAAGCAAGCUUGCAUUUAUUUUACCCCAGUGCAUAGGGGUACCACUCCUUACUGUGAGUGGCCACAGUACGACCUCACUUUUGUUGUUUAAAUAAGGACAUAAUUAUUAUUAUUUUUUUUUUUACUUUUGUGAAUGUGUGUUUUUCCUGCUUCUGUGUCUGCACUACAUGUGUGCCUGGUGAAGGGACACAUGCCCACUCGAGCAUAUGGCUCUGGCAGGUCUUGCCCUUCUCCCCAUUCCCUCUGCCUUGCUAUAAAAAAAAAACCCACUAGAUUACAUAGGGGUUGGGGAUUUAGCUCAGUGGUAGAGCGCUUGCCUGGCAAGUGCAAGGCCCUGGGUUCAGUCCUCAGCUCUGAAAAAAACAAACAAACAAAAAACCCACUAGAUUACAUUCCUAAAGCUAGCCACCAAAGUUUAUUCCUUUUUGGCCACUUCCUCUUCCUGAGGCUGACUACUGAGGUCCAGCUAUCAAAAUAUUGAAAUCCAUCAAUCAAAAGCCCUCUUUUAUUGCCCCAAUUAACAUGUUCAAUUUAAACACAUCAUCCUAACACGGGGUUCCCCUUGUACCUUUAUAAACUGCCAUUUGCCUAUGUGCCACGUCUGUCUCUCCUCUGUCCACAGGCAGUCUUGUCCCUCUGGGACAAAUACUCCCUCCCCUGUCCCCUUCCUCUACCCCGUCCUCUAUCUCCUUUAGCGCCUCAUCCUAGCCCAUUCUAAGACAGACCUCCCCUUUUCCUCCUCUUAAAAAUUACACCUGCGAGGCCAGAAAACCUUUUCUUCCCCACUUAAUAAAGGAUCUCUCUAUGAAAACAGG
This is a long non-coding RNA of Peromyscus californicus insignis, 7216 nucleotides long. RefSeq lists it as uncharacterized. The record is from RefSeq and is a predicted model, not a curated record. Lineage: Eukaryota; Metazoa; Chordata; Mammalia; Rodentia; Cricetidae. The transcript is spliced from 2 exons.